UCCUUCGUGGAGGCUGGCUACAUUUUCACAACGUCUGGUCCCAAGCUAGAUCUUCGGGAAAAGGGAUCAAGGAAAUGACUAUUCCUCCAAAUAAAAUGCUGCACAUCUUUCAUGGAUUCUGGUCCACCUCGUCCUCACGCGGGGAUGCAGACUGACAAGCUUCCACCAUGAAGGGUUGUCAUUUGCCAUAGCAGGGAGAGGAAAAUGGAGCAAAUCAGUCACCAGCUCGUCAUACAGAAGAGUGUCCCACGUCAUAUCUGCUGAUAUGUUAUGGCCAAAGUACAUGACUAUCUCCAAGGAGCUGAGAGGUGAAAUUCGGACAUUUGUCUGGACGGAGUAGAACCAAGAGAGUCGUAAACAUCCUGUGGACUACACACCGUUUAACAAGAUGCAACAGUAUUCUGGCUUUGCCUUUCCUGGAGCCCUUAAACAGGCUGAAGUGAAAAGCACCAUGACCUGUCACUACAAGACGAGAAGCCUCAGGAGAAGGAAGGAGAUCCCUUUUCAUUGGUUUUGCCGAGUUUCCCGAGCUCCAUCCUCCUACAGUUAAAUCAACACUCUUUAUCCUUAGACUGCUGAUAAUCUCACCAACCGCUUCCUGGUAAGAUCUGUAAUGCGUGAGGUCUUCCUUCUUAGUUGUUUGCAAACAUCAGUGAUUAGGGACAAUUAGGGACUGGUGUGCCUGUCAUUCUUCUCCUUUCAGCUGAGGAGGAAAUCCUCAUGCACCGUUAUCGGGAGUGAGACUUCAUCUGUCAGCUGCAGUCUCAGGAAUCCACGGGUUCAUUCAGUCGCAACUCUAAUCUCACUAACUUUAUCUGUGUUCCUCAAAUGCCUUAGACUAUUUGCUUCCCACUGAUAGGGAAACCUGACAUCUCAUUUUCUCAGUGUCCAGACAAAGAUUCGUACAUAGCAAGAAACUAAGAUAGGUGUUACAGAACAUGGAGGGAACCAGGAAAACCAAAUAGAGGACCCCCUUCAUGGGGCUUCCAACACGACAAUAGGCAAAAGAGAAGAAACAUACAUGUAAGAGACAAGCAAAACCCAGAACCAUCACUUAUGAAGGAUGUCCUCAUCACCCUCUUUUGCUGCCUGUCAAAACCGGUGAGGGCUCAUAUGACACCUUAAUUAUGAAUUAAUCUUCGUUCCUCCUACACCAGCACUUCCCCUCACCCCAGUCGAAGCCAUCU
This 1187-nucleotide long non-coding RNA is filed under the name Homo sapiens (human). RNAcentral describes it as "long intergenic non-protein coding RNA 670". Lineage: Eukaryota; Metazoa; Chordata; Mammalia; Primates; Hominidae. The record is from RNAcentral.